This 863-nucleotide ribosomal RNA is filed under the name Ophioceras ficinum. RNAcentral's name for it is "partial large subunit ribosomal RNA". It matches the Rfam family "Eukaryotic large subunit ribosomal RNA", at positions 66 to 958 of the family's 3401-position model. The record is from RNAcentral. Lineage: Eukaryota; Fungi; Ascomycota; Sordariomycetes; Magnaporthales; Ophioceraceae.
CAACAGGGAUUGCCUCAGUAACGGCGAGUGAAGCGGCAACAGCUCAAAUUUGAAAUCUGGCCUUCGGGUCCGAGUUGUAAUUUGCAGAGGAUGUUUUCGGCGAGGCACCAACUGAGUCCCCUGGAAUGGGGCGCCAUAGAGGGUGAGAGCCCCGUAUAGUUGGACGCUGAACCGGUGUAAAACUCCUUCGACGAGUCGAGUAGUUUGGGAAUGCUGCUCUAAAUGGGAGGUAAAUUUCUUCUAAAGCUAAAUACCGGCCAGAGACCGAUAGCGCACAAGUAGAGUGAUCGAAAGAUGAAAAGCACUUUGAAAAGAGGGUUAAAAAGCACGUGAAAUUGUUAAAAGGGAAGCGCCCGUGACCAGACUCUGUUUUUGGGGAUCAUCCGUCCUUCUGGGCGGUGCACUCUCCUUUAAUGGGGCCAGCAUCGGUUUUCGCUGGAGGAAAAGGACUUUGGGAAUGUGGCUCUCUUCGGGGAGUGUUAUAGCCCUUUGUUGGAUGCUCCGGCGGGGACCGAGGACCGCGCUUCGGCUUGGAUGCUGGCGUAAUGGUCAUCGGCGACCCGUCUUGAAACACGGACCAAGGAGUCAAGCAUUAGGGCGAGUGUACGGGUGUAAAACCCGCACGCGCAGUGAAAGCGAACGCUGGUGAGAGCUUCGGCGCAUCACCGACCGAUCCUGACGUUCUCAGAUGGAUUUGAGUAGGAGCCUUAACGCUUGGACCCGAAAGAUGGUGAACUAUGCCUGAAUAGGGUGAAGCCAGAGGAAACUCUGGUGGAGGCUCGCAGCGGUUCUGACGUGCAAAUCGAUCGUCAAAUUUGGGCAUAGGGGCGAAAGACUAAUCGAACCAUCUAGUAGCUGGUUAC